Molecule: transfer RNA, 21 nt
Filed under: Chloephaga melanoptera (Andean goose)
Lineage: Eukaryota; Metazoa; Chordata; Aves; Anseriformes; Anatidae
Also listed under: 6 other names
Description: partial tRNA-Phe
Source: RNAcentral
GUCCACAUAGCUUACACCAAA